GACGAACGCUGGCGGCGCGCCUAACACAUGCAAGUCGAACGAGAGAUGAGGAGCUUGCUCUUCAGAUCGAGUGGCGAACGGGUGAGUAACGCGUGAGGAACCUGCCUCAAAGAGGGGGACAACAGUUGGAAACGACUGCUAAUACCACAUAAGCCCACGGCUCGGCAUCGAGCAGAGGGAAAAGGAGUGAUCCGCUUUGAGAUGGCCUCGCGUCCGAUUAGCUAGUUGGUGAGGUAAUGGCCCCACCAAGGCGACGAUCGGUAGCCGGACUGAGAGGUUGAACGGCCACAUUGGGACUGAGACACGGCCCAGACCUCCUACGGGAGGCAGCAGUGGGAAUAUUGCACAAUGGGGGAAACCCUGAUGCAGCGACGCCGCGUGGAGGAAGAAGGUCUUCGGGAUUGUAAACUCCUAGUUGUUGAGGUAAGACAAUGACGGUACUCAACAAGGAAGUGACGGCUAACUACGUG
RNAcentral lists this ribosomal RNA (470 nucleotides) under uncultured bacterium. Its description in RNAcentral is "bacterial SSU rRNA". It matches the Rfam family "Bacterial small subunit ribosomal RNA", at positions 28 to 507 of the family's 1533-position model. The record is from RNAcentral.